UACGUAGGGACCAAGCGUUGUCCGGAAUCAUUGGGCGUAAAGAGCGUGUAGGCGGCUUGUUAAGUCUUGCGUGAAAUCUCGGGGCUCAACCCCGAGCGGUCGUGAGAAACUGGCAGGCUAGAGUGCGGGAGAGGAGAGUGGAAUUCCUGGUGUAGCGGUGAAAUGCGCAGAUAUCAGGAAGAGCACCCGUGGCGAAGGCGGCUCUCUGGAACGCAACUGACGCUGAGACGCGAAAAGCGUGGGGAGCAAACAGG
Molecule: ribosomal RNA, 254 nt
Filed under: uncultured bacterium
Lineage: Bacteria
Description: partial 16S ribosomal RNA
Rfam family: Bacterial small subunit ribosomal RNA
Source: RNAcentral